CGAGACCGCGAGGUCGAGCCAAUCUUAAAAAGUUAGUCUCAGUUCAGAUUGUUCUCUGCAACUCGAGAACAUGAAGUUGGAAUCGCUAGUAAUCGCGGAUCAGCAUGCCGCGGUGAAUACGUUCCCGGGUCUUGUACACACCGCCCGUCACGCCAUGGGAGUUGGUUCUGCCUGACGGCGUUGAGGUAACCCGCAAGGGGGCCUGGCGACCACGGUAGGGUCAGCGACUGGGGCGAAGUCGUAACAAGGUACC
RNAcentral lists this ribosomal RNA (253 nucleotides) under uncultured bacterium. RNAcentral's name for it is "partial 16S ribosomal RNA". It matches the Rfam family "Bacterial small subunit ribosomal RNA", at positions 1250 to 1500 of the family's 1533-position model. The record is from RNAcentral.